This 302-nucleotide ribosomal RNA is filed under the name uncultured bacterium. Its description in RNAcentral is "bacterial SSU rRNA". It matches the Rfam family "Bacterial small subunit ribosomal RNA", at positions 29 to 355 of the family's 1533-position model. The record is from RNAcentral.
AACGAACGCUGGCGGCAGGCCUAAUACAUGCAAGUCGAACGCUCGUAGCAAUACGAGAGUGGCAGACGGGUGAGUAACACGUGGGAACCUUCCCUAUGGUUCGGAAUAGCUCAGGGAAACUUGAGGUAAUACCGGAUAAGCCCUUACGGGGAAANAUUUAUCGCCAUUGGAUGGGCCCGCGUCGGAUUAGCUAGGUUGGUGGGGUAACGGCCUACCAAGGCGACGAUCCGUAGCUGGUCUGAGAGGAUGAUCAGCCACACUGGGACUGAGACACGGCCCAGACUCCUACGGGAGGCAGCAGU